RNAcentral lists this ribosomal RNA (495 nucleotides) under uncultured bacterium. Its description in RNAcentral is "partial 16S ribosomal RNA". It matches the Rfam family "Bacterial small subunit ribosomal RNA", at positions 28 to 507 of the family's 1533-position model. The record is from RNAcentral.
GACGAACGCUGGCGGCGUGCCUAAUACAUGCAAGUAGAACGCUGAAGCAGGAGUUUGCUCUUCGGGAUGAGUUGCGAACGGGUGAGUAACGCGUAGGUAAACCGCCUGGUAGAGGGGGACAACUAUGGGAAACGAUAGCUAAUACCGCAUAACAGUAGAUGUUGCAUGACAUUUACUAAAAAGGCGCAAUUGCAUCACUACGAGAUGGACCUGCGGUGUCUUAGCUAGUUGGUGGGGUCACGGGUCACCAAGGCGACGAUACAUAGCCGACCUGCGAGGGGGAUCGGCCACACUGGGACUGGGACACGGCCCAGACUCCUGCAGGAGGCAGCAGUAGGGAAUCUUCGGCAAUGGACGGAAGUCUGACCGAGCAACGCCGCGUGAGUGCAGGAGGUUUUCGGAUCGUAAAGCUCUGUUGUUAGAGAAGAACGAGUGUGAGAAUGGAAAGUGCACACUGUGACGGUAUCUGACCAGAAAGGGACGGCUAACUACGUG